AAGCGGAGGAAAAGAAACUAACAAGGAUUCCCCUAGUAACUGCGAGUGAAGCGGGAAAAGCUCAAAUUUAAAAUCUGGUAGUUUCACUGCCCGAGUUGUAAACUAGAGAAGCGUUAUCCGCGCUGGACCGUGUAUAAGUCUCCUGGAAUGGAGCGUCAUAGAGGGUGAGAAUCCCGUCUUUGACACGGACUACCAGGGCUUUGUGAUGCGCUCUCAAAGAGUCGAGUUGUUUGGGAAUGCAGCUCUAAAUGGGUGGUAAAUUCCAUCUAAAGCUAAAUAUUGGCGAGAGACCGAUAGCGAACAAGUACCGUGAGGGAAAGAUGAAAAGAACUUUGGAAAGAGAGUUAAACAGUACGUGAAAUUGUUGAAAGGGAAACGCUUGAAGUCAGUCGCGUCGGCUAGGAAUCAGCCUUGCUUUUGCUUGGUGUACUUUCUAGUCGACGGGUCAGCAUCAGUUUUGAUCGGUGGAAAAAGGCCAGCGGAAUGUGGCACCUUCGGGUGUGUUAUAGCUGCUGGUUGUAUACAUCGGUUGGGACUGAGGAACUAGCACUCUGUGUUUUAGAUGCUGGCAUAAUGGCUUUAAUCGACCCGUCUUGA
This 597-nucleotide ribosomal RNA is filed under the name Clitopilus apalus. RNAcentral describes it as "partial large subunit ribosomal RNA". It matches the Rfam family "Eukaryotic large subunit ribosomal RNA", at positions 48 to 657 of the family's 3401-position model. The record is from RNAcentral. Lineage: Eukaryota; Fungi; Basidiomycota; Agaricomycetes; Agaricales; Entolomataceae.